This 383-nucleotide unclassified non-coding RNA is filed under the name fungal sp. Its description in RNAcentral is "partial internal transcribed spacer region". The stretch from base 1 to 46 matches the Rfam family "Eukaryotic small subunit ribosomal RNA", at positions 1786 to 1831 of the family's 1831-position model. Lineage: Eukaryota; Fungi. The record is from RNAcentral.
AAGUCGUAACAAGGUAACCGUAGGUGAACCUGCGGUUGGAUCAUUACAAAUUCAACAGGAUAAAGUUCGCCAUGGAACCGUUCGCGCGGUUUCGUGGUGUUCCUAAUCUGACCACACCUUUGUGAACCACUGACCGUAUCUUAUGGCCACAUUUGCGUUUUCCUACGGGGGUAGUUGACUUCAACAGUGCAUGUUUGACGCGCUACAUGAAACUCGGACUAUUGGCCUCGCUCUUAAACGGGCGAGGGCAGAACCUGGUGGCCACUCAAACAAUGAAAACACCCGUUUUUUGACAUUUUGCCUUAAAAAUCAAUCUGAAGCUCGAAAGAGCGCUAGGAUUUAAAAAUGAGAAACAACUUUAGACAACGGAUCUCUUGGCUCUC